This 76-nucleotide transfer RNA is filed under the name Tolumonas osonensis. Its description in RNAcentral is "tRNA-Arg". It matches the Rfam family "tRNA". Rfam says of the family: Transfer RNA (tRNA) molecules are approximately 80 nucleotides in length. RNAcentral also lists the same sequence under 2 other names. The record is from RNAcentral. Lineage: Bacteria; Pseudomonadati; Pseudomonadota; Gammaproteobacteria; Aeromonadales; Aeromonadaceae.
GUCCUCAUAGCUCAGCAGGAUAGAGCAUGCGCCUCCUAAGCGUAAGAUCCAGGUUCGAGUCCUGGUGGGGACGCCA